Molecule: non-coding RNA, 1340 nt
Organism: Oryza sativa Japonica Group (Japanese rice)
Lineage: Eukaryota; Viridiplantae; Streptophyta; Magnoliopsida; Poales; Poaceae
Source: RefSeq, a predicted model, not a curated record
AUUUCUGUUUGGAAAUUACAAGGGUUGGGGUGUCCUGAUUUUGAGGAUUGUAGAGCUAUGGAGGUACUCUGUAAUUAGUUUAACAUUUCUGAAUUGUAAACUAAUUCUAUCGUCAUUGUUUCACAAACAAACUAGCAACAAAUUGCAGUAGUAUAUACAGUAAUGUAUACUUAAACUGAUUUAUUUUAAACUAACAACAGUAGCUUUUAGUCUCAUUAGACUAACAGAUUUGUUUUCCUCAACAUGAUACUUGUAUAAAACAUGUUUAUCAUAGCUAUUCAAGCACUAAUAUGUCUAGUGUUAAAUGAACUGAUUGGGUGAUUAAUUCUGUACCCAUGUUAUAAUGUAUUUGAUGAUGAGAUCCUUCUAUUUGAUUGAAAAACAGCAGCUCCUACUUUGAUGCUAGCUAGCUCUAGUUCUGGGUUUUAUGUAACUCUAGUUCUAGUUCUGAAUUUGAGUUGUCAGUGAUGUGUAUAAGUUGUGCUUGUUUUGUAGAUUGCACUUGCACCCAUGAGAGUUGGAGAAGACCAACCUCCUCCUUCCUGGGACCUUGUACCCUCUCCUUCCUGGGACCUUGUACCCUCUCCAAGAGAAUUGCCUUGGUGCAAUUGACGGCACCCAUAUACCCAUAUCUAUAUCAUCUGACAAAGCAGCUCCAUUUAGAAAUAGGAAAAAUACUCUUAGCCAAAAUGUGAUGAUAGCUUGUGAUUUUGAUCUGAAGAUCACUUUCAUGUCUACUGGGUGGGAGGGGUCGGCUACAGUACCCCCUGGAAAGUUCUAUUUGGUUGAUGGUGGAUAUGCCAACACCAAUUCUUUCCUUGCACCAUAUCGUAAAGUCAGGUAUCAUCUAAAGGAGUAUGGGGCAGGUCGGCGUAGACCUCAAAACUACAAAGAGUUAUUUAACCAUCGCCAUGCGGUAUUGAGGAAUCAUGUUGAAUGGACUUUGGGGGUUGUAAAGAAGCGCUUCCCUAUCCUCAAAGUUGCAACUUUCCACAAAAUCAAGAACCAAGUGAAGAUACCAGUGGCUGCUGCAGUGUUCCAUAAUAUUAUUUGAUCACUGAAUGGGGAUGAGCAAUGGUUAAAUAACCAACCACAUAAUAUCCAUCCAAGCAAUUAUGUUGACCUGCCAGAUGGUGAUGAAGGCAAUGAUCAAAGCACUAAUCAAGGGAAUCUUUUGAGGGACACGAUAGCACAUCAAAUUUGGAAUGACUAUCGACAGCAUAGGAAUUAGUGGGUUGUAAUAAGUAGUAUAUUUGAUUUUCUUUUGAUGUUUUGUGAGCUGUAAUAACUACGACAUAUUACAAAUAUUAUGUUAUAAAUGAACUAUGGUGGUUGCAUGU